ACUCCCAACUCUACCCACUGGCUGGUCAGGACUGAACACAGACGGUGCACCAUGGAGUCUGGGCUGAGCUGGCUUCUCCUCAUUGCUCUGUUACAAGGUGUCCAGUGUGAGGUGAAGCUGGUGGAGUCUGGGGGAGGCUUGGUCCAGCCUGGGGGCUCCCUGAGACUCUCCUGUGCAGCCUCUGGAUUCACCUUCACGGAUUACAGCAUGAACUGGGUCCGCCAGGCUCCAGGGAAGGGGCUGGAGUGGGUGGCAGAAGUGAGUCAACCAUCUGGAAGCAAGCAGUGGUACUCUCCAUCAGUACAAGGGAGAUUCACAAUCGCCAGAGACAACCCUACAAACACAGUCUCCCUUGAAAUGACUAAUCUGAAAGCCGAGGACACAGCCUUGUAUUACUGCACGAGGGACACAGCGAGGGGACCCCAGUGUGAGCCCAGACAGGAACCUCCUGCGGAGCGGGGCCGCCAGGGGGCGUCCGGCACACAGGCGCGGAGUCACCCAGGGCAGGUGCAGAGAUGCUCAGUCCUGGUUUUCUCUGGAGUUCUAGGGCUCUGUCUGCAUCUUAGUGUUUCCCCUGAGAGCCUCCCAGUGGAGUCACAAGAUUUACAACUUUAUUCCCACCAGCAAAGUCCCGACACUUGA
Otolemur garnettii (small-eared galago) is the source of this 642-nucleotide non-coding RNA. NCBI's taxonomy places the organism in Eukaryota, Metazoa, Chordata, Mammalia, Primates, Galagidae. The record is from the annotation of a RefSeq genome assembly.